CCUACGGGAGGCAGCAGUGAGGAAUAUUGGUCAAUGGGCGAGAGUCUGAACCAGCCAAGUAGCGUGAAUGAUGACUGCCCUAUGGGUUGUAAACUUCUUUUAUAUGGGGAUAACACAGGGUAUGCAUACCCUCUUGUAUGUACCUUAUGCAUAAAGAUAGGCUAACUCCUUGCCGUCAGCCGCGGUAAUACGGAGGAUCCGAGCGUUAUCCUGAUUUGUUGGGUUUAAAGGGAGCGUAGGUGGGUUGUUAAGUCAGUUGUGAAAGUUUGGGGCUCAACCGUAAAAUUGCAGUUGAAACUGGCAGGGUUGAGUACAGUAGAGGUGGGCGGAAUUAGUGGUGUAGCGGUGAAAUGCUUAGAUAUCACGAAGAACUCCGAUUGCGAAGGCAGCUCACUGGACUGCAACUGACACUGAUGCGCGAAAGCGUGGGUAGCAAACAGGAUUAGAUACCCUUGUAGUC
RNAcentral lists this ribosomal RNA (460 nucleotides) under uncultured bacterium. Its description in RNAcentral is "partial 16S ribosomal RNA". It matches the Rfam family "Bacterial small subunit ribosomal RNA", at positions 338 to 795 of the family's 1533-position model. The record is from RNAcentral.